RNAcentral lists this ribosomal RNA (722 nucleotides) under uncultured Pseudomonadota bacterium. RNAcentral describes it as "bacterial SSU rRNA". It matches the Rfam family "Bacterial small subunit ribosomal RNA", at positions 31 to 742 of the family's 1533-position model. The record is from RNAcentral. Lineage: Bacteria; Pseudomonadati; Pseudomonadota.
GAACGCUGGCGGCAGGCCUAACACAUGCAAGUCGAACGGUAACAGGAAGCAGCUUGCUGCUUCGCUGACGAGUGGCGGACGGGUGAGUAAUGUCUGGGAAGCUGCCUGAUGGAGGGGGAUAACUACUGGAAACGGUAGCUAAUACCGCAUAAUGUCGCAAGACCAAAGAGGGGGACCUUCGGGCCUCUUGCCAUCGGAUGUGCCCAGAUGGGAUUAGCUUGUUGGUGGGGUAACGGCUCACCAAGGCGACGAUCCCUAGCUGGUCUGAGAGGAUGACCAGCCACACUGGAACUGAGACACGGUCCAGACUCCUACGGGAGGCAGCAGUGGGGAAUAUUGCACAAUGGGCGCAAGCCUGAUGCAGCCAUGCCGCGUGUAUGAAGAAGGCCUUCGGGUUGUAAAGUACUUUCAGCGGGGAGGAAGGGAGUAAAGUUAAUACCUUUGCUCAUUGACGUUACCCGCAGAAGAAGCACCGGCUAACUCCGUGCCAGCAGCCGCGGUAAUACGGAGGGUGCAAGCGUUAAUCGGAAUUACUGGGCGUAAAGCGCACGCAGGCGGUUUGUUAAGUCAGAUGUGAAAUCCCCGGGCUCAACCUGAGAACUGCAUCUGAUACUGGCAAGCUUGAGUCUCGUAGAGGGGGGUAGAAUUCCAGGUGUAGCGGUGAAAUGCGUAGAGAUCUGGAGGAAUACCGGUGGCGAAGGCGGCCCCCUGGACGAAGACUG